UGGCAAAAGGGAAGAUGUAGCCCCAA
RNAcentral lists this non-coding RNA (26 nucleotides) under Homo sapiens (human). The record is from RNAcentral. Lineage: Eukaryota; Metazoa; Chordata; Mammalia; Primates; Hominidae.